GGGGAGGCAGCAGCCUCCUCACUGUUGUCGUAGAAAGUAAAGGGGCAGCAGAUAAAAGCGAAGGCGCAGGCGUUGGACAGGAUUCUCCGUGCAGCUGCUUCACUUUUUCUCUUUUAUAAACACACGUGUCGUUGUUUGUUUUUGAAGUAAAAAAGAAAAAAAAUGGGAAGCACAGUGAUGGAGUCCAACAAGCAGGACUCAAAGAAAACGCCAAAGAAGCGACGGAGUCUGCGGAUUAACAUGCCAGAUUUUGGAGCAUUUACUUCCUCACAAGUGGAGAGAAGUGGCCCCAAAUCUCAGACGGGAGAGAUCCGUACAGCAAGCCCCACCAUAGGAGUGUCUGCGAGGAGUCCUGCCAGCACCAUGCUGCCGGCAUGUCCCAAGUCUGCUCCAGUCCAGCCAAAGACGGGCUCGAGUUCACCCAGAACUAUCUUCCCGUUUGCCUCCCACCAGAACUCCCCACCAAAAUCUCCUAAAUCCCCCCGUCGCCUAAGCUUCAGUGGUAUCUUCCGCUCAUCAUCCAUCUCUACACCUGCAAGCAUCAAAAUCUUCUCUCGAACCAGGAGAGCCUCUGGACUUUCCACACCACCCAGCACGCCAACCCAGGUGACCAGCCCACCUGUGUUCACCCAGGAAGCCCAGCAGAGCUGGCUCAGUUCUGAACGGAUGGAACCAACCUUCAGAACCCGCUCCCUCUCCACACCUCCAGACACUGGACAGCAGCUAAGCCUCCCCUCUGCUAAACCCCCGAUCCCUUUCUCAAACCCUGGGUCGUCUUAUUCUACCUCACAACAAGUCUACGGAUUAUCUGAAGGCAUGCUGGAGAAACUUGAACUAGAUGAUGAAGCUGCUGAACCUGAGAGUGAUAUUUACACACGCUUUAUGAAAUCACACAAGUGCUACGAUAUUGUCCCCACAAGCUCCAAGCUGGUUGUGUUCGACACAGCACUCCAAGUUAAGAAAGCGUUCUUCGCCUUGGUAGCAAAUGGCGUGCGAGCUGCCCCAUUAUGGGACACGGAGAAGCAAAGCUUUGUGGGAAUGCUGACCAUCACAGAUUUCAUCAUCAUACUACACAGAUACUAUAAGUCACCGAUGGUGCAGAUUUAUGAAUUAGAGGAACAUAAGCUUGAGACAUGGAGAGAGGUUUACCUUCAAGCAACGUUCAAACCUCUGGUCAACAUAUCACCUGAUGCAAGCCUGUUUGAUGCAGUGUACACCCUCAUCAAAAACAAAAUUCACCGUCUGCCUGUCAUUGACCCCGUCACGGGGAAUGCACUUUAUAUUCUCACACACAAGAGGAUCCUCAAGUUCCUCCAGCUCUUUAUGUGUGAAAUGCCUAAGCCGGCCUUCAUGAAGCUGACUGUCGAGGAGCUGGGCAUCGGUACGUACCACGACAUCGCUUUCAUCCACCCGGACACGCCCAUCAUUAAAGCACUCAACAUCUUUGUGGAGAGACGAGUGUCUGCUCUGCCUGUGGUGGACGACUCGGGUAAAGUUGUGGAUAUUUACUCCAAGUUUGACGUGAUUAAUUUGGCUGCUGAGAAGACGUACAACAACCUGGACAACACCGUGACACAGGCUCUGAAACAUCGCUCCCAGUACUUUGAAGGAGUCGUCAAGUGCCAUAAAACAGAAACCAUGGAGACCAUUGUGGACAGAAUAGUCAAAGCUGAGGUGCAUCGGUUGGUGGUGGUGGACAAGCGCUCCAGCAUCGAGGGCAUCGUCUCCCUGUCGGACAUCCUCCAGGCUCUGGUGCUCAGCCCUACAGGUAUAGAUGCUCAGCAUUAGCACCGACUCCCCCCCUCCUGUCCUGGACCCUGAGCUCUCUCCCCUCACCUGCCCUUUAACUUUGCCCAGACGCCUGUAAGGAGGAGAACGUGACCGCGUACGAGGGAGGAAGCGUCAGCGGCAGCAGUGAAGACGUGGUGGGAGGGACUAAGUGUGAAGGUUAAGGCUGUGUGAGGCUUUAGAGAGUCACAGUGACGCCUGCAAGUGAUGCACUAUAGACGCUUGGAAACCAAAGAGCUAGACAGCUGAGAGUGAAGUGGAGUCCCUGCACUGACGCGUGAUUUUUUUCCGAGUUUGUUUGUUGUUUUUGCUUUUGUUUGAACACUGAUCGGAUGACGCACACAUGUACAUUACACUGUAUAAAGGCGCACACGCUCGUACACACAGAGAUGCAUCAUGGGUAUCUGCCCUUGAUCUGUGAAAGGUGGAGACGAAAAGAUGCAGCUCGUGUUUUCGGUUCAAAACUGCGCUUCACCUACCAUGUGGCCAUUUUAUGACUGUUAAAACAAAACAAUUUGCCAGUGCCAUUGUUGUGCGCUCCAUGCCCAGGCUUUCGUUGUGCCUUUUCGGUUUGCCCACACCAGUAAUGCUGUUCUUUAUUUUCUUUUCUUUUUUUGUAAUUUUAACAAUGUAUUGGUGUGAUAAUAUAAGUAGUUGGCAAAAAUGUACCUUCUCCUGUAUUAAGAUUCAUUCUCUGUGACUAUAAUUCACAUCUUUUGAAUUUGUUACGUACAUUUUACAUGAAAAAUGAUAUGACGAAUAAAAUCUAAAUAUUUUUCGACACAAAAUGCAGUGAUCAGAGGCAAAUGUAAUACAAGUGUGAGUGAGAAUCUGUCGUACAUCGAGUCACCGUGACUAUAAAGAUGUAUAUUUGUAAUGGUUUGACGAGACUGAAUGGUUUUAGAUGGUUUUUGUCGCUUCACAUAAUCUGACACUUGCUUUACUGCUUCUUUUUUCUCCCCUCUCAGCUGUAGCUCCACAGGACUCAUCUCCAUCAUCGACUGUACAUAGGUUUGUUGUUCUUUUGGGGAUAAAAGUGUCAAACAAAGCUUUAUUUUUAUGAAAAAAAAAAUGUCAACGUGUUUAAAGAGACUGCAGUUUUAACGUUAUUUUUGUAAAUAUACUGUGGCAAAUGUGUCGAGUUCAACAAAACUUUGUAUCAGAUCAACAUGUACUGUAAACGUGCAAGCAUGAGAAACCUACACUUCAGCAGUAUGAAUGUUCCUUGUUUUACUUUUUCUAUUUUUCUGGCUGCAGAAAAAUAAAUUGACACUGAAUGUA
Molecule: RNA transcript, 3069 nt
Organism: Solea solea (common sole)
Lineage: Eukaryota; Metazoa; Chordata; Actinopteri; Pleuronectiformes; Soleidae
Gene name: 5'-AMP-activated protein kinase subunit gamma-2-like
Exons: 16
Source: RefSeq, a predicted model, not a curated record